CUGACAGCCAGGUACAGCCGCUCACCCACUGCAGUGAGGGUGUAACCCAGGCAACCCCUCAGAGGUUGAAAAUAUCCUAAACCCAGGCCGGCCGUAGUGCCCCACGCCUGUCAUCCAGCACUCGGAGAGGAGGACCUUGUGUUUUCGAGGCAGGCUCGGUGCCACUGAGCUAAAUCCCCGGCCUGAGCGGGUCUCGAGAUGUAGUUCAACCUGGCCUCAAACUCAUUAUGUAGCCCAGACUGGCCCUGAACUCAUGGUGAUCUUCGUGGAUCAGCCUCCAGAAUACCGGGAUUACAAGCGUGCACCACCACUUCUGGCUAAACCUAUUAUUUUGAAGCAACAACCCCGCUGCUGAAACCAAUGUCUUUCUGUGUUUUUAACUAUCCCGUGCAUUUGAAGAAUUGCCUAACCGUUCCACAGUUCAGCCAUAUUUAGAAAGUUCUUUUGUCUAAUGCCAGACAUGGCUGGAAAAUUUGGAAAAUUAACAAGAAAUUUUUUCCAGUGACAAGAGAAUGUGGCUUUGUUUGCUUUGCUUUGGGGAGAGCUAAUUAAAUCUUGUAUCAUUCC
Molecule: non-coding RNA, 567 nt
Organism: Heterocephalus glaber (naked mole-rat)
Lineage: Eukaryota; Metazoa; Chordata; Mammalia; Rodentia; Bathyergidae
Source: RefSeq, a predicted model, not a curated record